Molecule: ribosomal RNA, 1343 nt
Filed under: uncultured bacterium
Lineage: Bacteria
Description: 16S ribosomal RNA
Rfam family: Bacterial small subunit ribosomal RNA
Source: RNAcentral
GACGAACGUUGGCGGCGUGCUUAACACAUGCAAGUCGAACGGAAAGGCCCUGCUUUUGUGGGGUGCUCGAGUGGCGAACGGGUGAGUAACACGUGAGUAACCUGCCCUUGACUUUGGGAUAACUUCGGGAAACUGGGGCUAAUACCGGAUAGGAGCUCCUGCUGCAUGGUGGGGGUUGGAAAGUUUCGGCGGUUGGGGAUGGACUCGCGGCUUAUCAGCUUGUUGGUGGGGUAGUGGCUUACCAAGGCUUUGACGGGUAGCCGGCCUGAGAGGGUGACCGGCCACAUUGGGACUGAGAUACGGCCCAGACUCCUACGGGAGGCAGCAGUGGGGAAUAUUGCACAAUGGGCGGAAGCCUGAUGCAGCAACGCCGCGUGCGGGAUGACGGCCUUCGGGUUGUAAACCGCUUUCGCCUGUGACGAAGCGUGAGUGACGGUAAUGGGUAAAGAAGCACCGGCUAACUACGUGCCAGCAGCCGCGGUGAUACGUAGGGUGCGAGCGUUGUCCGGAUUUAUUGGGCGUAAAGGGCUCGUAGGUGGUUGAUCGCGUCGGAAGUGUAAUCUUGGGGCUUAACCCUGAGCGUGCUUUCGAUACGGGUUGACUUGAGGAAGGUAGGGGAGAAUGGAAUUCCUGGUGGAGCGGUGGAAUGCGCAGAUAUCAGGAGGAACACCAGUGGCGAAGGCGGUUCUCUGGGCCUUUCCUGACGCUGAGGAGCGAAAGCGUGGGGAGCGAACAGGCUUAGAUACCCUGGUAGUCCACGCUGUAAACGGUGGGUACUAGGUGUGGGGUCCAUUCCACGGGUUCCGUGCCGUAGCUAACGCUUUAAGUACCCCGCCUGGGGAGUACGGCCGCAAGGCUAAAACUCAAAGGAAUUGACGGGGCCCCGCACAAGCGGCGGAGCAUGCGGAUUAAUUCGAUGCAACGCGUAGAACCUUACCCGGGUUUGACAUGGAUCGGGAGUGCUCAGAGAUGGGUGUGCCUCUUUUGGGGUCGGUUCACAGGUGGUGCAUGGCUGUCGUCAGCUCGUGUCGUGAGAUGUUGGGUUAAGUCCCGCAACGAGCGCAACCCUUGUUCACUGUUGCCAGCACGUUAUGGUGGGGACUCAGUGGAGACCGCCGGGGUCAACUCGGAGGAAGGUGGGGAUGACGUCAAGUCAUCAUGCCCCUUAUGUCCAGGGCUUCACGCAUGCUACAAUGGCUGGUACAGAGAGUGGCGAGCCUGUGAGGGUGAGCGAAUCUCGGAAAGCCGGUCUCAGUUCGGAUUGGGGUCUGCAACUCGACCCCAUGAAGUCGGAGUCGCUAGUAAUCGCAGAUCAGCAACGCUGCGGUGAAUACGUUCCCGGG